Molecule: ribosomal RNA, 868 nt
Filed under: uncultured archaeon
Lineage: Archaea
Description: bacterial SSU rRNA
Rfam family: Archaeal small subunit ribosomal RNA
Source: RNAcentral
CCCUGGUUGAUCCCGCCGGACCCGACUGCUAUCAGAGUGGGACUAAGCCAUGCGAGUCGACGUAGCAAUGCGUGGCGAACGGCUCAGUAACACGUAGUCAACAUGCCCAGGGGACGUGGAUAACCUCGGGAAACUGAGAAUAAACCACGAUAGGUCACGAUUUCUGGAAUGGAUCAUGGCCUAAAUCUACAUGGCCCCUGGAUUGGACUGCGGCCGAUCAGGCUGUUGGUGAGGUAAUGGCCCACCAAACCUAUAACCGGUACGGGCUCUGAGAGGAGAAGCCCGGAGAUGGGCACUGAGACAAGGGCCCAGGCCCUAUGGGGCGCAGCAGGCGCGAAACCUCUGCAAUAGGCGAAAGCCUGACAGGGUUACUCUGAGUGAUUUCCGCUAAGGGGAUCUUUUGGCACCUCUAAAAAUGGUGCAGAAUAAGGGGUGGGCAAGUCUGGUGUCAGCCGCCGCGGUAAUACCAGCUCCUCGAGUGGUCGGGGCGAUUAUUGGGCCUAAAGCAUCCGUAGCCGGUUCCGUAGGUCCUCUGUUAAAUCCAACCGCUUAACGGUUGACCUGCAGAGGAUACCGCGGGACUAGGAGGCGGGAGAGGCGGACGGUACUCCGCGUGUAGGGGUAAAAUCCUUUGAUCCGCGGAAGACCACCAGUGGCGAAGGCGGUCCGCCAGAACGCGCUCGACGGUGAGGGAUGAAAGCUGGGGGAGCGAACCGGAUUAGAUACCCGGGUAGUCCCAGCCGUAAACGAUGCUAGCUAGAUGAUUCAUUCGCAAGUCGCGAAUGAAGUGUCGCAGGGAAGCCGUUAAGCUAGCCGCCUGGGGAGUACGGUCGCAAGACUGAAACUUAAAGGAAUUGGCGGGGGAGCA